This 1301-nucleotide ribosomal RNA is filed under the name metagenome. RNAcentral's name for it is "bacterial LSU rRNA". It matches the Rfam family "Bacterial large subunit ribosomal RNA", at positions 1635 to 2925 of the family's 2925-position model. The record is from RNAcentral.
UACACGACCGUACCGCAAACCGACACUGGUGCGCGAGAUGAGUAUUCUAAGGCGCUUGAGGGAACUCAGGAGAAGGAACUCGGCAAAUUGACACCGUAACUUCGGAAGAAGGUGUGCCUUUAGUAGGUGAAGGGAUUUACUCCUAGAGCCCAAUGAGGUUGCAAAAAAUCGGUGGCUGCGACUGUUUAUUAAAAACACAGCACUCUGCAAACACGAAAGUGGACGUAUAGGGUGUGACGCCUGCCCGGUGCUGGAAGAUUAAAUGAUGGGGUGCAAGCUCUUGAUUGAAGUCCCAGUAAACGGCGGCCGUAACGAUAACGGUCCUAAGGUAGCGAAAUUCCUUGUCGGGUAAGUUCCGACCUGCACGAAUGGCGUAACGAUGGCCACACUGUCUCCUCCUGAGACUCAGCGAAGUUGAAAUGUUUGUGAUGAUGCAAUCUCCCCGCGGAAAGACGGAAAGACCCCAUGAACCUUUACUGUAGCUUUGUAUUGGACUUUGAACAGAUCUGUGUAGGAUAGGUGGGAGGCUUUGAAGUAGGGUCGCUAGAUCUUAUGGAGCCAACGUUGAAAUACCACCCUGGUGUGUUUGAGGUUCUAACCUAGGUCCAUUAUCUGGAUCGGGGACAGUGCAUGGUAGGCAGUUUGACUGGGGCGGUCUCCUCCCAAAGCGUAACGGAGGAGUUCGAAGGUACACUAGUUACGGUCGGACAUCGUGACGAUAGUGCAAUGGCAUAAGCGUGCUUAACUGCGAGACUGACAAGUCGAGCAGAUGCGAAAGCAGGACAUAGUGAUCCGGUGGUUCUGUAUGGAAGGGCCAUCGCUCAACGGAUAAAAGGUACUCUGGGGAUAACAGGCUGAUACCGCCCCAGAGUUCAUAUCGACGGCGGUGUUUGGCACCUGAUGUCGGCUCAUCUCAUCCUGGGGCUGUAGCCGGUCCCAAGGGUAUGGCUGUUCGCCAUUUAAAGAGGUACGUGAGCUGGGUUUAAAACGUCGUGAGACAGUUUGGUCCCUAUCUUCCGUGGGCGCUGCAGAUUUGAGGAAGCCUGCUCCUAGUACGAGAGGACCGGAGUGGACACACCUCUGGUGUAUCGGUUGUCACGCCAGUGGCAUUGCCGAGUAGCUAAGUGUGGAAGAGAUAACCGCUGAAAGCAUCUAAGCGGGAAACUCGUUUCAAGAUGAGAUCUGCCGGGGCCUUGAGCCCCCUAAAGAGUCGUUCAAGACCAGGACGUUGAUAGGUCGGGUGUGGAAGCGCAGUAAUGCGUUAAGCUAACCGAUACUAAUUGCUCGUGCGGCUUGACCCU